This 433-nucleotide ribosomal RNA is filed under the name uncultured bacterium. Its description in RNAcentral is "partial 16S ribosomal RNA". It matches the Rfam family "Bacterial small subunit ribosomal RNA", at positions 29 to 507 of the family's 1533-position model. The record is from RNAcentral.
AACGAACGCUGGCGGCAUGCCUAACACAUGCAAGUCGAACGAGACCUUCGGGUCUAGUGGCGCACGUGUGCGUAACGCGUGGGAACCUGCCCUUAGGUUCGGAAUAACUCCCCGAAAGGGGUGCUAAUACCGGUUAAUGUCUUCGGACCAAAGAUUUAUCGCCUUUGGAUGGGCCCGCGUUGGAUUAGCUAGUUGGUAGGGUAAAAGCAUACCAAGGCGACGAUCCAUAGCUGGUCUGAGAGGAUGAUCAGCCACACUGGGACUGAGACACGGACCAGACUCCUACGGGAGGCAGCAGUGGGGAAUAUUGGACAAUGGGCGAAAGCGUGAUCAAGCAAUGCCGCGUGAGUGAUGAAGGCCUUAGGGUUGUACAGCUCUUUUACCCGGGAUGAUAAUGACAGUACCGGGAGAAUAAGCUCCGGCUAACUACGUG